Molecule: ribosomal RNA, 888 nt
Filed under: human gut metagenome
Description: bacterial SSU rRNA
Rfam family: Bacterial small subunit ribosomal RNA
Source: RNAcentral
CCGGAAUUAUUGGGCGUAAAGGGCUCGUAGGCGGUUCGUCGCGUCCGGUGUGAAAGCCCAUCGCUUAACGGUGGGUCUGCGCCGGGUACGGGCGGGCUGGAGUGCGGUAGGGGAGACUGGAAUUCCCGGUGUAACGGUGGAAUGUGUAGAUAUCGGGAAGAACACCAAUGGCGAAGGCAGGUCUCUGGGCCGUCACUGACGCUGAGGAGCGAAAGCGUGGGGAGCGAACAGGAUUAGAUACCCUGGUAGUCCACGCCGUAAACGGUGGAUGCUGGAUGUGGGGCCCGUUCCACGGGUUCCGUGUCGGAGCUAACGCGUUAAGCAUCCCGCCUGGGGAGUACGGCCGCAAGGCUAAAACUCAAAGAAAUUGACGGGGGCCCGCACAAGCGGCGGAGCAUGCGGAUUAAUUCGAUGCAACGCGAAGAACCUUACCUGGGCUUGACAUGUUCCCGACAGCCGUAGAGAUAUGGCCUCCCUUCGGGGCGGGUUCACAGGUGGUGCAUGGUCGUCGUCAGCUCGUGUCGUGAGAUGUUGGGUUAAGUCCCGCAACGAGCGCAACCCUCGCCCUGUGUUGCCAGCACGUCAUGGUGGGAACUCACGGGGGACCGCCGGGGUCAACUCGGAGGAAGGUGGGGAUGACGUCAGAUCAUCAUGCCCCUUACGUCCAGGGCUUCACGCAUGCUACAAUGGCCGGUACAGCGGGAUGCGACAUGGCGACAUGGAGCGGAUCCCUGAAAACCGGUCUCAGUUCGGAUUGGAGUCUGCAACCCGACUCCAUGAAGGCGGAGUCGCUAGUAAUCGCGGAUCAGCAACGCCGCGGUGAAUGCGUUCCCGGGCCUUGUACACACCGCCCGUCAAGUCAUGAAAGUGGGCAGCACCCGAAGCCGG